Long non-coding RNA from Acanthochromis polyacanthus (spiny chromis), 419 nucleotides. RefSeq lists it as uncharacterized. Lineage: Eukaryota; Metazoa; Chordata; Actinopteri; Pomacentridae. The record is from RefSeq and is a predicted model, not a curated record. The transcript is spliced from 3 exons.
GUCAGCCUCUUACUGCAGGUUUAUUCCUGCUGCCUCUCUCAUAGAGUUUAUUUUGUUCUGAUCUGUUCCUUUUUUAUAGAACUCUCCUGUUUCUCACCUCCUGUUGUUCCUGAACUGUUGCUGCUGUAUUUUUUCCUCAUGUCUUUGGCUGCCUGUUGCAGGUCUGUGUCUCUCUACUGACGUCGCCCUCCUGAACUCCUCACCUGCUCUGGUCUGCGUUACCUUCAAUAUCAGUUCCUGUUCUUGGUCAUGGAUGACUUUGUUUGUAACAAACUGACUGAAUGGGGUCUUAGUGAGCUCAUUGAUAGAUUUAAAGAUGAAGAAAUUGACAAGAAACGUCUGUAUGAUCUUGAUGAUCAAGACAUUAAAGAGCUGUUCCCAAAAAUGGGACCAAGAGCUACAUUCAAGAAGGAACUCAG